Molecule: long non-coding RNA, 2107 nt
Organism: Polyodon spathula (Mississippi paddlefish)
Lineage: Eukaryota; Metazoa; Chordata; Actinopteri; Acipenseriformes; Polyodontidae
Exons: 4
Source: RefSeq, a predicted model, not a curated record
UGUAUUAAUUUUGAGUUUAUGUUUUUUAUUUCAGCAUGGGCUUGUAAAAUAACUAUCUUCUUAAAUAUGUACAAACUUAAAAAGUAAAGCAUUCAAUAACACAUUUCAUUUCAGUUAUGGUCAUGGCUCCCAUUUUCCCCAUAAUGCCGUUCCACAGGCUCUUGCAUUUUUGUUUUAAUGUGGAAGACUAAUAGAAAAUAGCAUCUCUUCACUAUAGCUCCCAAUAAUAGCAGUGAUUAUUAAUCCUGGGUCUUUCAAAAUUCUGUAGAACAGUGGUAAAGUGACAUAAUAUUAGGUUAUUAUUCCUGAAAUAUAAAUAUAACCAUUACCAAAUGUGUAUUUACCUCCUAAAGACCCGAAUCCUUAAUAUUGCAUGCCAAAGCUGUUCUUUGAGCCUGUGACGCAGUCAUGAUCAAAAGUACAGCGCUCACAGAUCUCAAAGUCAUUUUUCCUUCAAGCCUGCUGCAAUCAUGGAUGAAGUGACCUUGAAGGUUAAUGAUUGCAUUUCUAUUUCAGGGAACCAGGUUAUUACAUAACCUCACAUUCCCUUUAAAGUACAAAAUGUAACCAUUACGGAAUGGGUGAGUGUACCAAAGCAUUCAUACGGAAUGGGUGAGUGUACCAAAGCAUUCAUAUGGGCAGAACAACCGGAAUGCUUCAAGGCUAAGCCAAAAGGCUGCCUUGUGCGUAAAUAUUCGAAACUCCAGUAACAAGUAGCUAGGGUGAAAAAAUUGACAGAGAAUUUCACCUCUGUGUCUGUGUUGUAAGGAUCGACUGAGAAGCAGCAGUUAAAACCAUGGUGAAGGUACGGGAAGGUACGGGGAGUAGCCCACACUGCUGCACUGACAGAUGCACCCUGGAAUAAAGCCCAGGAAGUUGGAAGGCUCCUGGUGGAAUAGGCAGUGAGGCAUAAAAUAGUUUGGACUGCCUCCAGCUUUUCAUCCUGUCAACAUAACACGCCAGGUCCUGAACUGGGCACAGUGUAUGGAGCUGUCGCUCCCUGUCAGACUGGAACGAGGUGGAUGGAAAGCCUCCAGUUCUACAGACUGGUUGACAUGGAAUGCUGAGAUGUCUUUGGCAAAAAGGCAGGAUUGGUGCGGAGUGUGUCCUGGUCACUGUAACAAUUAAGCAGGCUUUCGUAAUACAGAAUGCUUGCAUCUCACUCACCCACUUUGCAGAGGUGACAAAAAGCAAGAAAGCCGCUUUAACCCUUUACUGCCAGAGCAAUUUAAAAUCAGUAGUAUAUGAUUGAUGACCUUUCAUAUCAUAUCUUGGCCAUCCAAUCACCAAUCUUGCUUUUUCUUUUGCGUGGACCAUAGCCAUGACUAGGGGUCAUGUCUCCAUAUAAUUGGUUUAGGGCUAGGAUGGGUGGAACAUAUAAUAUUAUAAUUAUGAGGAUGUGUCACAGACACUGCCAUUUUAGCUGAGUUUACUGCAGAUUCAUAAAGACAUUCAUCCAUUUCAAACGUCUGUGUUUAGGUCCAAGAGUGCUGAUCUACUCAUUGAAAGCUAAGUACUUGGACUAACUAGCCGUCUUGUUAAAGUGUUAAACUUUUUUUUUGUGUGUGUGUGCAUGCAGGGCAGGACUAACUUUGGAUAGAUAGGGAGAAGACUAACUAUUGUACCAGCAUCUGAUCUUUUUUUUUUCUUUUUUUUUUUAAUUAUAUAAGUUCCUUUUAUAACAAUAUUUUUUCCUCUGGAGGUGGACGGAGAGAAAACCAAACACCUGCAUCUGACCCCUAACUAGCUCACAGACCAGGAGAUAAAUUGAAACAAAAAACAGUUUCAGCAUCUGAUGCAGUCCCUGAAGAGGAGGGCCCUGAAGGAGGAGAUUGGGAUCCUCUUAAUAAAGGACCAUGAGGGCAUGGACACCAUUGAGGAGGACCUCCUUGAUGAGGUUCUGCUGCUGCUUCUGGAGGAUGAGGAUGAGCUGGAGGAACCCCAGCCCAGCAAUUCAACUGCAGGACACUGCUGGAAUUAAAUUAACCAUCCAAGCCCGGAUAGAGGGAGGAUAAAUCAAGCCUCCCCUGAUGAAGCAGCUCAACAGAAACUCAGCUCCUCCACCAUCUUGUAGUCACGUGACUCCUGCUGCAUCUAAAUAAGGACG